This 277-nucleotide ribosomal RNA is filed under the name uncultured Pseudomonas sp. RNAcentral describes it as "partial 16S ribosomal RNA". It matches the Rfam family "Bacterial small subunit ribosomal RNA", at positions 1107 to 1382 of the family's 1533-position model. The record is from RNAcentral. Lineage: Bacteria; Pseudomonadati; Pseudomonadota; Gammaproteobacteria; Pseudomonadales; Pseudomonadaceae.
GUCCUUAGUUACCAGCACGUUAUGGUGGGCACUCUAAAGAGACUGCCGGUGGACAAACCGGAGGAAGGUGGGGAUGACGUCAAGUCAUCAUGGCCCUUACGGCCUGGGCUACACACGUGCUACAAUGGUCGGUACAAAGGGUUGCCAAGCCGCGAGGUGGAGCUAAUCCCAUAAAACCGAUCGUAGUCCGGAUCGCAGUCUGCAACUCGACUGCGUGAAGUCGGAAUCGCUAGUAAUCGUGAAUCAGAAUGUCACGGUGAAUACGUUCCCGGGCCUU